This 305-nucleotide ribosomal RNA is filed under the name uncultured bacterium. RNAcentral's name for it is "bacterial SSU rRNA". It matches the Rfam family "Bacterial small subunit ribosomal RNA", at positions 333 to 655 of the family's 1533-position model. The record is from RNAcentral.
CGCGGCCUACGGGGGGCAGCAGUGGGGAAUAUUGCACAAUGGGGGAAACCCUGAUGCAGCGACGCCGCGUGAGUGAAGAAGUAAUUCGUCAUGUAAAGCUCUAUCAGCAGGGAAGAAAAUGACGGUACCUGAGUAAGAAGCCCCGGCUAACUACGUGCCAGCAGCCGCGGUAAUACGUAGGGGGCAAGCGUUAUCCGGAUUUACUGGGUGUAAAGGGAGCGUAGACGGCGGUGCAAGUCUGGAGUGAAAGGCGAGGGCUCAACUCCCGGACUGCUCUGGAAACUGUACGGCUGGAGUGCAGGAGG